Molecule: ribosomal RNA, 385 nt
Filed under: uncultured eukaryote
Lineage: Eukaryota
Description: SSU rRNA
Rfam family: Eukaryotic small subunit ribosomal RNA
Source: RNAcentral
AGCUCCAAUAGUGUAUGCUAAUGUUGUUGCGGUUAAAAAGCUCGUAGUUGAAUCUCUAAGGGUGAUUGUCGGUUCGUUUUUCGACGCUACUGACACUUUUGCCCUUAAUAUGAUGAGGGUGCGCUGUGGUGCUCUUCACCGAGUGUCACAGAGCUCCUCAUGGUUUACUUUGAAAAAAUUAGAGUGCUCAAAGCAAGUUUAAACGCUUGAAUAGUCGUGCAUGGAAUAAUGGAAUAGGACGUCGUUUCUAUUUUGUUGGUUUUCGGAAAUCGACGUAAUGAUAAAUAGGGACAGUCGGGGGCAUUAGUAUUCAGACGACAGAGGUGAAAUUCUUGGACCGUCUGAAGACUAACUACUGCGAAAGCAUUUGCCAAGAAUGUUUUCA